AUAGCACCGGCUGUCUGCGGACCUUUCGCGGUCUGCAACAGCAAUUCACGCCCAUUAUUCUGUGACUGUAUGGAGACCUUCUCUCAGAAAUCGCCACUGGAUUGGGAGCUUGGUGAUCGAAGAGGAGGGUGUGCUAGAAAUACUCCCUUACAUUGCAUAACUAGCAACAAAAGCCAGACAAGUUCAACAGAUGUGUUCCACCCUAUACCUAAAGUUACAUUGCCUGGUAAUCCUCGGAGUAUAGAAGACGCUACCACGCAAAGCAAUUGUGAAGAAGCUUGUCUCAAUGACUGCUCCUGCACCGGUUAUUCAUAUGACAAUAGUAAAUGCUCUGUCUGGCACGGGGAAUUGCUCAAUGUAAAUAUGGACGAUGGGAUUGGUAUUUCUUCUCAAGAUGUUCUUUACCUUCGCCUGGCCGCAACCGAUUUUCAAAGUUUGAGCAAGAACAACAAAAGAAAACCAAGAGCUAUUAUUGCUGCAAGCAUUGUUAGUUUUGGGUUACUAAUGCUCAUGCUGUUAUUGUUGGUUUGGAGGACCAGAUUCAAGAGGUUCAAUGCAUCGUUACACGACAUUCCAGGUAGCGGUGGAAUUAUAGCCUUUAGAUAUACUGAUUUAGUCCAUGCUACUAAAAAUUUCUCAGAAAGGCUAGGAGGUGGUGGUUUUGGUUCUGUGUUCAAGGGAGUGUUAAGUGAGUCAACUACUAUUGCAGUGAAAAGGCUUGAUGGUGCCCGUCAGGGAGAGAAGCAAUUCAGAGCCGAGGUGAGCUCAAUCGGGUUGAUUCAACAUAUCAACCUAGUGAAAUUGAUUGGUUUCUGUUGUGAGGGUGAUAAGAGGCUACUUGUGUAUGAGCACAUGUCAAAUGGGUCUCUUGAUGCCCAUUUAUUUCAGAGCAAUGCUAUCAUCCUAAAAUGGAGCACAAGGUAUCAAAUAGCCAUAGGAGUUGCUAGAGGAUUAUGCUACUUGCAUGAAAGUUGCCGUGAAUGCAUCAUACACUGUGAUAUUAAGCCAGAAAACAUACUUCUCGACGCAUCAUUUGCUCCUAAAAUUGCAGACUUUGGGAUGGCAGCGUUUGUAGGGAGGGAUUUUAGCCGAGUUCUGACUACAUUCAGAGGAACCGCAGGGUAUCUUGCCCCGGAGUGGCUUAGUGGAGUUGCUAUUACACCAAAAGUGGAUGUUUACAGUUUUGGUAUGGUACUGUUGGAAAUCAUAUCCGGAAAGAGGAACACACCGGAAGUAAAUAGUAAGAGCAGUUAUCAGGUUGCGUUUUUCCCAGUGCAGGCCAUCAGCAAGCUUCAUGAGGGAGACCUGCAGAGUUUGGUGGAUCGACAGUUACAUGGUGACUUCGACUUGGAAGAGGCUGAAAGGGUUUGCAAAGUUGCAUUUUGGUGCAUCCAAGACAAUGAAUGUGAUCGGCCGACAAUGGGUGAAGUAGUCCGUGUUCUUGAGGGCCUUCAGGAGCUCAAUAUGCCCCCGAUGCCAAGACUACUUGCAGCUAUAACGGAACGCUCUGAUGCAGCUUCAAUGUAAUAAUUGCAGUUGAUGUUUAUUUUUGUUUCAGCAAAUUUGGAAGUUGUAUUUUGGAGCUGAAGGAAUAAAAGGACAAGCUUGCAAUAUCUAAUUGAGUUUUUUGGUGCAUGUGGUCUCCCAUUUGCCUAUUUACGUUACGCUGUUUUAGUGACUAACUCUAGCAAAAUACGGCAAAGCUAGAAAUAUGUGUCUGCAUAUUGAUGAAAAGAGUCAACAUAUAUCCUUAAAUUGAAGGAGCAUUUGAUGUAUGCCACUGCUGAUUGCUUGCCUUAGAGAUAUUCCACUUCUUCUCUGCAGGGUAUGUGUGUGCUGUCUGAGUUGUUCAGCUCUGUUAUCCGGGGCAGAGCAACUGUGAGCUUUUUUUUUCAGAGAUGUCAAAGUAACCCCGAGUUCGGUUCUCUGGUAGAAAGGAGCGGUUCCGCAAUUUUGAGGGAUUUUUUUUUUGCUGUCUCUGUACGUUCUUCAGAACCUCAGGAGGAGACUCUGUUUGUUACUUUGGGUGCCCUGAACGUUCAGAAUAAGACUUCUUCUGAGCCGCAUCUGAAGAUACAAUGCUAUCUCUGAACUCUGAAGAAUACUUCUCCUAUUCUCUUUCAGGGAAAUGUGCAGUUGUUCAGGUGUGAUGUGAUCUUGGUGGGCUGUAAAUUAUACAUUGUCCUAGGUGUGAAGAAUACCCCGUCAUAUAAACAGUCUUCAUCGAUGGAUGAUGCGUCCAGCACCAGACCGAAUUGUCCUGUCGCCAGACUGUUUCUUCUCGUCGCCGACUACAGUAUUUGCCUGGGUUUUUGGUUGAUGUGCCCAUCGUUACUGAACUGUCAGUUAGGCUCCUGCCUGUAGUCGUCGUCGUCCUCGAAACACCCUGACCAGCGCAAACCCGUUGGUUCACACCAUCUCCUGCCGAGCUCAAUGCCAGACAUCUUGACCCAUCCGGCCGCGCAUUCCGCGCAGCCCUGACGACUAUGAGCAUGUUACGCCAUGUUUGGUGUUCUCACCUGCAUAUCCGUGCCAGCUGAACAGCACACGGACCACACCUGCCGCCCGGUUUCAAGAAUAAACAGCAAGAAAGACUCAAGUUACUUUUUCCCUCAAUCUCCACCCUCUCUCCAACACGAUUUGGGGAUUUCAUAAGAUAAGGUUGAGGAUUUGGAAUGUAGUUAGAUGGAAGGACGAGGGACCUGGAAGUUAAGGUAGUUCUGUGGUUGGUGCUAGGGCGGCAAUGCGGCUCUCGCCUUCGCCGGUGAGGGUGGCGGAGGAUGGCCUACGGAGAAGGUGAAGGCAGAGGGAACUUACUCCAACAUGUUACCAUGGCGAGUGGGAGUGGUCAUGGAGGAUCUGGCGAUGGGGAGCCACCGUUUGAGGAAGAGGGGGGAGGCAGCAUGAUUUUAGUUUUAUUCUAAGUUAAACUUUUCCAAGUUAGUCAAGUUUAUGGAAAAAUUCAUCAAUACUGCACCAUCAAACUGGUUUCAUUAAAACCACCAAGAAAUAUGUUUAAAUGUGUAGAUGACAUGUUCAACAACAUCGACGCACCUAUGAUGACUAUCCAUCUCAAAUCUAUUUGCCCAGUUUAUUGUAGACAGUUCAUAGAUAUGAGCGUGUGUGCGCAAUAGUGAAUUUGUAUCAUGUUCUUUUUUUUAAAAGAGAAAGAGAAAGAUGUGUGAGAGUGAAAACUCUAUACCAUAUUUGGAUACUAAGACAUAUUAAGCUCUUUUACGGUACUACUAGUCAGUGGUAUGUAAGUAUCCAUUCAUUAUUAUGGAUAAUUCAUUAAUUAUUUUAUUGUAAAAAGUGAUAUUUCAAAUGAAAUGGUUUUUUAAACUUUAUGCUAGUGUCAAAAAUAAAAUUAUAGUGAUGCUAUUUGUGUUUUUUUUACCGUGAUACCCUUAUACUACCUAUACUACUCAUGUAUACUACUAAUAACACAUGUGAAGAUUUUAGUAAUAUACAAUUAAUCAUGAACAUCGAAUGUUUUUAUACUAAUUCUUCUCGAACACUGGUAUAGUUUAAUAUUGUGUACUGUAAAAUAGCUCUAUACUAAAUAGCCGCAUUUGUGAGAUACGUAAUACAUCAACUUAGGAUUAAUCCCAUAUGAGUAGAACCAUCCAAGUUUGUUUUCCUCGUACCCACUAAAGCAUUGUAUAAUCAUAAACAAUAGAGACGGGAGGGGAAUGAUUACCAUUAAAAAGCUUGCAGUGCCAAUAUAUUGCACGAGCAAGGAGCUAGCUAGCUUGAUGACAGAUUGCCUCGCACGAAUCGAGCACUACUACAUGUCAAGCAAGCCAGCCUGUUUGCCCUACCUAUAUCGGCUACUCUAUUUGUUGACCUUUUCUAUAUAUCCUGAUAACAUUGUAUGUUUUGUCUACACUGAUCACUUGGAGAUUUUUCUUUUGACGACGGGUGGCCUCUAGCGACCCCUUGCUAUCCCACGCGACAGCACCAUGCUGCUAGCCUGUUUCAUUGUACUGGAUCGACGACCUGCGCCGGGUCCUUCACGACAAGGCGUUUCCGUCAGGGACUCGAAGCCGCCGACGAGGGGUGAGGUCAACGGUCAACCACCGCGCUUACAGGGAUGCUCCCGGCUCGCCGUACUGUGUUCCUCGUCCGUCAACUGGACAUGAAUGCGCCCGUCCUCUGGUGCGUCACGUACAGUUAGCCUUCUUCUGUAUAUAUACACAUGAAGGCUCCUCUUCUCCGAAACAGCACAGCACAGCACCUGUCCGGCCAUGGCUCCCCUCUACAUAGUACUGCUGGUUGGGCUUAUUUCCUUGUCUUCGCCCCACAAUCCUUUCGGUUCCGCCGCGACGACGCCAAAUGGUGACACUCUCGCUGCAGGCCAGGCGCUUGCCGUCGGUGACAAGCUCGUCUCAAGAAACGGCAAGUUCGCGCUCGGCUUUUUUUCCGCUUCCGGCAAAGCCUCGCUGCCAUUGGUAAGUCCACCGACAAGAACACCACAAUCUCCUCCCCCGGAUGGUAUCUUGGCAUAUGGUUCGAUAAGAUCCCGGUUUGCACCCCCGUGUGGAUUGCUAACCGGGAGAGGCCAAUCGCCGAAUCCGAACUCAAGGCCACACGGCUCAAAAUAUCAACAGAUGGCGACCUCGUUGUCGCCAUCUUGCACAAUCAUACCAGGAUCAAAUCCAUAUUCUGGACCACUAAUGGCACUAUUGCCAAUAGAACAAGAAGUAGCAGUGUCGUUCUCAUGAACACCGGAAACCUUGCCGUCCUACCAAAAGCCCCAUCGAAUGGUGUACCAUUGUGGCAGAGCUUUGACUACCCAGCAGAUGUCGGGCUUCCUUCAGCAAAGAUAGGCUGGGAUAAGGUCAUCGGCUUGAAUAGGUUUGGCAUCUCUAAGAAGAGCCUAAUUGAUCCAAGUUUUGGCUCAUACUCAAUUGAAGUAGGCACUGAUGGGGCGUUGCGCCUUACAAGUCGCAUAUCCCGCUAUGUAGUGUAUUGGUCUUGGCCACCAGGAAAAUUAGCACAACUUGUACAAGUACUCGAUGGGUUGAUGGACUCGGAUCCACGGACCAAGGGUUUGCUUACACCUAGAUAUCAAGAAAAUGACCAAGAGGUGUACUUCUCGUACAACAAAACGGAUGAAUCAGCUUCUGUAUUCGUCGAAAUAGGCAUCUCCGGUCAGCUCAAGCUGAAUGUUUGGUCGCGAGCCAAAGAAUCUUGGGAAACUGUAUACGCCCAGCCUUCUAGUUUUUGCUCAGCAUAUGCUGUAUGUGGACCUUUCACGGUCUGCAAUGGCAAUUCGGGCCCAUUAUUCUGUGACUGUAUGGAGACCUUCUCUCGGAAAUCGCCUCGAGAUUGGGACCUUGGUGAUCGAACAGGAGGGUGUGUUAGAAAUACUGCCUUAGAUUGCAUAGGUAGCAACAAAAGCAAGACAAGUUCAACAGAUGUGUUUCACCCCAUAUCUCGCGUUACGUUGCCCUAUGACGAACAGAGAAUAGAAGAUGCUGCCACGCAAACUGAUUGUGCAGAAGCUUGUCUCAAU
RNAcentral lists this long non-coding RNA (5518 nucleotides) under Setaria italica (foxtail millet). Its description in RNAcentral is "long non-coding RNA (SITA_LNC001800)". Lineage: Eukaryota; Viridiplantae; Streptophyta; Magnoliopsida; Poales; Poaceae. The record is from RNAcentral.